AUUGAACGCUGGCGGCAGGCCUAACACAUGCAAGUCGAGCGGAUGAAGGGAGCUUGCUCCUGGAUUCAGCGGCGGACGGGUGAGUAAUGCCUAGGAAUCUGCCUGGUAGUGGGGGAUAACGUCCGGAAACGGGCGCUAAUACCGCAUGCGUCCUGAGGGAGAAAGUGGGGGAUCUUCGGACCUCACGCUAUCAGAUGAGCCUAGGUCGGAUUAGCUAGUUGGUGGGGUAAAGGCCUACCAAGGCGACGAUCCGUAACUGGUCUGAGAGGAUGAUCAGUCACACUGGAACUGAGACACGGUCCAGACUCCUACGGGAGGCAGCAGUGGGGAAUAUUGGACAAUGGGCGAAAGCCUGAUCCAGCCAUGCCGCAUGUGUGAAGAAGGUCUUCGGAUUGUAAAGCACUUUAAGUUGGGAGGAAGGGCAGUAAGUUAAUACCUUGCUGUUUUGACGUUACCAACAGAAUAAGCACCGGCUAACUUCGUG
RNAcentral lists this ribosomal RNA (484 nucleotides) under uncultured bacterium. RNAcentral's name for it is "partial 16S ribosomal RNA". It matches the Rfam family "Bacterial small subunit ribosomal RNA", at positions 30 to 507 of the family's 1533-position model. The record is from RNAcentral.